Molecule: ribosomal RNA, 251 nt
Filed under: uncultured prokaryote
Description: partial 16S ribosomal RNA
Rfam family: Bacterial small subunit ribosomal RNA
Source: RNAcentral
ACGUAGGAGGCGAGCGUUAUCCGGAUUUACUGGGUGUACAGCGCGUGCAGGCGGUUCUGCAAGUGGGAAGUGAAAGCGCCCGGCUCAACCGGGAGAGGACGUGCGAGACUGUCGGACUAGAGGCAGGUAGAGGCAAGUGGAAUUCCGGGUGUAGUGGUGAAAUGCGUAGAGAUCCGGAGGAACACCAGAGGCGAAGGCGACACCCUGGGCCGUACCUGACGCUAAGACGCGACAGCACGGGGAGCGAACGG